RNAcentral lists this ribosomal RNA (116 nucleotides) under Chrysemys picta bellii (western painted turtle). Lineage: Eukaryota; Metazoa; Chordata; Testudines; Emydidae. The record is from RNAcentral.
CCCUGCAGUCCUCCUACAUUAAGCUUUGAUCUUGUCGCAUCUCAGAAGCUAAGCAAGGUUGGGCUGGGUCAGUGUGUGGAAGGGAGACCUGAACAGAAAACCAAGCAAUAUAGGUA